AUGGGUUGACCCCAAGAGAUGACCCUAUGGGGUGACCUCACGGGUUGACCCCAAGAGAUGACCCCAAAGAUGGAUGAGCCAUUGGGACGCCCCCAUGAGGUGACCCCACGAUGUGACCCCCACCCCAUAACAGACGGAGCUCCGCGAAGCCGACGCGCUCUUCUCGGCCGCCCCACAGCGCUAUGGGGCGCCCCACGGCCGUCUGCUGCGCGCCGCCCCACUGCCGCGCCUGACGCAGCACCUCCUGGAGAGCUCCAAGAUGGGCGACGGCGCCUUCGUGCCCACCUUCCUCAGCACCUUCCGCGCCUUCGCCCGACCCCACGACGUCCUGCGGCUGCUGCUGGCGCGGUGUGGGGCCUCAGGGGGGGCAUCGGGGGCGUUCUGUGGGGCGUCGGGGGUGUUCUGUGGGGCGUCGGGGGCGUUAUAUGGGGCUUUGGGGGCGUUCUGUGGGGC
This 453-nucleotide long non-coding RNA is filed under the name Gallus gallus (chicken). RNAcentral describes it as "lncRNA (ENSGALG00010003515.1)". The record is from RNAcentral. Lineage: Eukaryota; Metazoa; Chordata; Aves; Galliformes; Phasianidae.